GGCACGCCUUAUACAUGCAAGUCGAACGAAGUAGCAAUACUUAGUGGCAGACGGGUGAGUAACAUGUAGGUAUCUUCCCUUUGGUGAGGAAUAACACGAGGAAACUUGUGCUAAUACCUCAUAAGUCUUUACGGAGAAAGCUUUAUGCGCCAUAGGAUGAGCCUGCAUUUGAUUAGUUUGUUGGUGGGGUAAUGGCCUACCAAGACUUUGAUCAAUAGCUGAUCUGAGAGGAUGAUCAGCCACAUUGGGACUGAGACACGGCCCAAACUCCUACGGGAGGCAGCAGUAGGGAAUAUUGCACAAUGGAGGAAACUCUGAUGCAGCGAUGCCGCGUGAGUGAAGAAGGCCUUUGGGUUGUAAAGCUCUUUCGUCGGGGAAGAAAAUGACUGUACCCGAAUAAGAAGGUCCGGCUAACUUCGUGCCAGCAGCCGCGGUAAUACGAAGGGACCUAGCGUAGUUCGGAAUUACUGGGCUUAAAGAGUUCGUAGGUGGUUAAAAAAGUUGGUGGUGAAAUCCCAGAGCUUAACUCUGGAACUGCCAUCAAAACUUUUUAGCUAGAGUAUGAUAGAGGAAAGCAGAAUUUCUAGUGUAGAGGUGAAAUUCGUAGAUAUUAGAAAGAAUACCAAUUGCGAAGGCAGCUUUCUGGAUCAUUACUGACACUGAGGAACGAAAGCAUGGGUAGCGAAGAGGAUUAGAUACCCUCGUAGUCCAUGCCGUAAACGAUGUGUGUUAGACGUUGGAAAUUUAUUUUCAGUGUCGCAGCGAAAGCAUUAAACACACCGCCUGGGGAGUACG
This 795-nucleotide ribosomal RNA is filed under the name uncultured Pelagibacteraceae bacterium. Its description in RNAcentral is "bacterial SSU rRNA". It matches the Rfam family "Bacterial small subunit ribosomal RNA", at positions 41 to 884 of the family's 1533-position model. Lineage: Bacteria; Pseudomonadati; Pseudomonadota; Alphaproteobacteria; Candidatus Pelagibacterales; Candidatus Pelagibacteraceae. The record is from RNAcentral.